GCAACUCUUCAUGUCUCUGUAACUAUGAUACCCUGGCAGUUUCUGUCUAACAGAACAUGGAUAUCAUCAUCAUCAAACAAGACCUCCUUAUAUUGUCAGUGUUUUUGCUGUGGACUGCAGGUCUUAUUGAUGGGAAUGAUGUCACACAGAUUGACAUACUGUGGAAAGACGAGGGUCAAAAUGCAACAAUUAACUGCAGCCACACCAAGAAUGCUGGCUACAACCAGAUGUACUGGUACAGACAGCUACCAGGGGAGAGGAUGAAGCAAAUAGUUCUCACAACUGCAUUCAGCGCUCAUGAAUAUGAAAGUGGCUUCAGUGAGGACAAAUUUCCUGCAACGAAGAACGAUGCUCAGACUGGAUCUUUGACAGUGGAGAAGCUGCUGCCUAACGACAGUGGAGUGUAUUUUUGUGCUGUGAGUCAACACAUUGAUACAGGUGACUUAGACAGCUGCACAAAUACCCAACUGUUGGAGUCACAAUGAAUAAAUACAGCUGUAUCUUUAAUGAACUGUAGAGGGAACUAUACACAGAUGGUUACACUUAUCUUUAGACAAAAAUGAAGAAAAUAUAGACCCUUAACUUUUAAUCUUUUGGUUUACAUUGAAUUUCAUAUUAUUUGGCAUGUGUAAUAUUGCAUUAUGACUAUUAUGCUAACCCAUUUCUCCCCAUGCUCCAGUAACUUUAAAACCUUAUUUAAAAAUAAAGAAACGUGUAAUAACGACACAGUAGCAAAAAAAUUGUGAUGCCACCUAUUUCCUGACAGACCUGAGAAAAAUGUAUUCCAUUUUACUUUCUACUGCAUUCACCUUUCUGUUUAAAGUUUCAAUUGCAUUAGUUUUUUAUUAUCUCAAAUUAAAUUAAAUUUUUCUCUUUGA
This is a non-coding RNA of Siniperca chuatsi (mandarin fish), 878 nucleotides long. Lineage: Eukaryota; Metazoa; Chordata; Actinopteri; Centrarchiformes; Sinipercidae. The record is from the annotation of a RefSeq genome assembly.